UGCGAUGCUGUGAGAAGUUCAUUGAACCUUAUCAUUUAGAGGAAGGAGAAGUCGUAACAAGGUUUCCGUAGGUGAACCUGCGGAAGGAUCAUUG
RNAcentral lists this ribosomal RNA (94 nucleotides) under Satyrium nepalense. Its description in RNAcentral is "partial 18S ribosomal RNA". It matches the Rfam family "Eukaryotic small subunit ribosomal RNA", at positions 1738 to 1831 of the family's 1831-position model. Lineage: Eukaryota; Viridiplantae; Streptophyta; Magnoliopsida; Asparagales; Orchidaceae. The record is from RNAcentral.